GUUGAAACAUCACUUCCCGUACGGUCACCGAAGUUAAGCAACGUCGAACCUGGUCAGUACGUAGAUGGCUGACCGCUUGUGAAUACCAAGGGCUGUAAG
Acanthosepion pharaonis is the source of this 99-nucleotide non-coding RNA. Lineage: Eukaryota; Metazoa; Mollusca; Cephalopoda; Sepiida; Sepiidae. The record is from the annotation of a GenBank genome assembly.